Macaca mulatta (Rhesus monkey) is the source of this 764-nucleotide non-coding RNA. The record is from RefSeq and is a predicted model, not a curated record. Lineage: Eukaryota; Metazoa; Chordata; Mammalia; Primates; Cercopithecidae.
GGUACUCAGCGAUGGUGCACAUGUUCUGAAUGAGGCGCAUCGCCUCGGCUGCGGAGCACCGCGCGGGAGGGGACUGAGGAACUGGAGAAGGCUAGCGCUGCACGGGAGCCGGCGGGAGAACCCGAAUGCGGGGCUCCGCAGUAAAAAAAAAAAAAAAUAUAUAUAUAUAUAUAUAAUAACAACAACGAUAAAUAAGUGCAGACCCACAUUCUCUGGCUCUUGUCGACAACACAAGCUAACGCGAACACACAUGGUCGGACGCAUGCACAGCACGCCCAGAAGCGGAUCAAGAAGUAAUUAUAGAACAAGCUUUCCAACGCCUCACUCAGUCACACCUUCUCCAGGAACUGUGAAAUGGAAAGAAAACAGCCCAGCUGCGACGUCUGAAGGGGCCCCGCACUUCGUCCCUGGUCAUAAGACACCGCAAGAGUUUAGUUAAGUGGCUUGAUGCCAAGGAAGAGGUGGGCCCUGCACUCCUAAAAUCCCAAGCUCUGGCCCCUUACAGUCUCAUCUGAGAAACACAUCUUCAAUGGCAGGCCAAAUUCCUCUUGCAAGCUACAGUCUGUAGCUGCAGCUGAUGGCAAGAUGUCACUAGAGUCGCGGGUUAACCACCCCAUCCCCCAUGCAAGGCCCUCUCCCCGCUACCCUUUCAACCUUGUCCCAGAGGCUUUUAUGCUGGGGUAUGACAACAAACUCUGUGACUUUGUGUACCCACCCACAUUAAAGUCUGAAAUGUGAAAUAAACCAAUGCCCUUAUCCACAUA